ACAGAAGAAGUAUCAGUUUAGAGGAGGGUAUCCGAAACCUCUAAAAAAUGCUAGUAUACCUUCAAGUAGAGGGAUAAUCCACACUCUACUAAGAAAGAACUAGCUCUGAUAUCUAAAGUUAGUGUCAGUCUCGACAAACUAUCAUGGACAUAAAAUACAGACUUGAAAUCUAACAAGAAGUUCAAGAAGAAGUGGCAGAACUAGAUUAAACAGAUGAGUACAAGAACAACACCAGAAAGGUGAGCUAGAACUCCAAGAGAUGUG
Molecule: long non-coding RNA, 264 nt
Filed under: Physcomitrium patens
Lineage: Eukaryota; Viridiplantae; Streptophyta; Bryopsida; Funariales; Funariaceae
Description: long non-coding RNA (PPAT_LNC002878)
Source: RNAcentral